AUACCUUUCUCGGCCUUUUGGUUAAGAUCAAGUGUAGUAUCUGUUCUUAUCAGUUUAAUUUCUGAUACGUGGGCUAAUGGCCCACAUGAUAUUAAAUUUAUUUUUUGAGGGGGAGGGCCCAUCACAGUAGCUUACUGCUGGGGCUCUCAAGUGUCGCCUUGGUGUUGCACUAUUACCUUGGCUUGGCGCACCCCAC
Molecule: small nuclear RNA, 196 nt
Organism: Cornus florida
Lineage: Eukaryota; Viridiplantae; Streptophyta; Magnoliopsida; Cornales; Cornaceae
Product: U2 spliceosomal RNA
Exons: 1
Source: RefSeq, a predicted model, not a curated record